UCCCUCAAUUCCCCAUACACCCACCCAUCCAUUAUUGUCUUUUUUUUUUCCAUUUUGUUGAGAGACCAUUAACGAGAGAGUUUAACCAGAUAUUUUAUCAUCAAUUUGCAGAGAAUCCAUAUUUGUUGUUUUCUUUUCGUUUCUAAUUACAUGAGAUUUUAUCAUCAAUAUGAUUCUACUUUCUGUUAUAGGGGACUUAGAGCUUUACUUGUUGGCGUGUUGGGAUUAUUCGACUAUUCCUUGCCAAAGUCCAGAGAGAUUUUGUAAUAUGUUUCUAGAUUUGACCAUAGCCAUUUGCUGAUGUGGGUCAACUGUUCACAGCCAUGUUUGUCGGGUGGAAAAAGCGUAGCUGUUUCGGUCAUAAGCUUGGUGUUGCGUAAUCAGAGGAUGGCUAGCAUCUGCUUGCAAUCCCAGUCGUAGCCAUGGAGAUGUUAUGAUAUGAUAUAGGAGCAACUUUGGCUUGUGGGACUGGAGCGUGUGUAGUAGUUGUUGCGGCUAUUCUCAAGGGUUGUUCUGAGAGAUUGAUUUACCAGGAGGGCCAUUGGACAUAGAAUGGAGGGAGGAGGAUAACCAUGUGUACAUGAUGGGUCCUGUAGAAGUAGAUUUUUUUUUGGAUCUUUUCAGCUCUAGGAUUCGUACAAUCUCAAAAUAAUUUCCAAAUUUUAGGUGAAGUGAGUUAUGAGGAUUGAGGUCUCUAGUAUCGUCAAUGUUUCUUAUGCCUCCAAUGUUUCAUCAGUGUACACGUAACCAGGAGGUACUGAAUGCAGCUACUAUGUGAUGAAGUUCAUGAAGAGAUAGCUUACGAAUGAGUUGAAAUACUUGACAAUGAUAAUGUUGGGAAAGGAGUAAAGGAAUACUCUGUUGCGGAUAUGUAUGGCAUUCGCGAAGAUUGGUCGACUUAUGCGGUUACCUCUAUGUUUAAGUGACAAAUCGUAUUUUAGGUGUUGACGAUGUAUUGACAAACAAUUCUCUUUUCUGUUAACGUUAAAAUAUUUGUAGUAUACUUG
This 1007-nucleotide long non-coding RNA is filed under the name Helianthus annuus (common sunflower). The record is from RNAcentral. Lineage: Eukaryota; Viridiplantae; Streptophyta; Magnoliopsida; Asterales; Asteraceae.